GAUGAACGCUGGCGGCGUGCUUAACACAUGCAAGUCGAGCGAAGCACUUUACUUGGAUUUCUUCGGAAUGACGAGUUUUGUGACUGAGCGGCGGACGGGUGAGUAACGCGUGGGUAACCUGCCUCAUACAGGGGGAUAACAGUUAGAAAUGACUGCUAAUACCGCAUAAGACCACAGCACCGCAUGGUGCAGGGGUAAAAACUCCGGUGGUAUGAGAUGGACCCGCGUCUGAUUAGCUAGGUGGUGGGGAAACGGCCUACCAAGGCAACGAUCAGUAGCCGGCCUGAGAGGGCGACCGGCCACAUUGGGACUGAGACACGGCCCAAACUCCUACGGGAGGCAGCAGUGGGGAAUAUUGCACAAUGGGGGAAACCCUGAUGCAGCGACGCCGCGUGAAGGAAGAAGUAUUUCGGUAUGUAAACUUCUAUCAGCAGGGAAGAAAAUGACGGUACCUGACUAAGAAGCCCCGGCUAACUACGUGCCAGCAGCCGCGGUAA
Molecule: ribosomal RNA, 497 nt
Filed under: uncultured bacterium
Lineage: Bacteria
Description: partial 16S ribosomal RNA
Rfam family: Bacterial small subunit ribosomal RNA
Source: RNAcentral